CUAUUUUACUUGAAUUAUCGCCUUGGUUUCAGUUACUUGUCCAUGCUAAGAAAAGCUGCAAGGUAAAAUAUUGCAGUUGACCUUACUAAUCUCUAUGACCAUUUCUUUGUGUCCACCAGUGAAUGUAAAGUAAAGGUAACUGCAACUUGGUUACCAUACUUUUAUCGAGAUUAUUGGCCUGGUGUUGCAGAGGUGUAUCAACUACAACAAGAAGAAAGGCAUUCUGGCCAUGCAUCAAAGGAUCUACGGUUAAUGAACAAACUCAGUGGAAAAUAUUUCGCUUGAAGUUACGCUUCAUCAUGGUGCACAUACAGCAUGCCUGCAUGCAUUGCUGCGGUUGCAUUCUGAUGGUUGCUGGAAAUCCUUGGGUUUGCAAACAAUGCGAAAAUUUUCAGCUGUCUGACAAGGAAUUAAAACAGCUGCUGAACUGAGGAGGGAACAAAACCUAACAGUGCCUGUCAAACAUCACACAUUGCAGCACAUUUAAUUAUUGGGGUGCUGGUGAUGAUGGCCACAAUCACAUCAGAGAUGCAAAGUCUCCCAAGAGAUGCAAAGUCUCCCAACACAAACUUUGGUUAAAGUCUGGUAAGAAAGAAACAAGGUCCUUCUGAUAUGCCAAUGAUAUGCAAUUAUGCGCGGAUCAGAUUCAAUCUAUGUGCCAAAGUAUGUGUGCUGGGUCAGAACCUCGAAUCUGAUUCUUCAUCUGAUCAAGCACUGAGCCAAAGAAAGUGAGUUAUCACGCUAUUGCUGCUGGCCAAGUCCAUGUUCCACUUUCUAUGAGUGCUGAGACUGUAGCAUCCCUGUGAUCCAUGUGAUCACGGCAGCAGUGGCAAGACAUUCCUAAGGUUGAGACUUUUGCUUGAGGACAAUAUAAGGGAGUCAAUCUUUUGGAGAAGUAUGGCCUAAGCCCUGGUACAUUGAAGGGAGAACAACACAAGGAAAUAGGGGGAUGAAAAUGUUGGCAAAAUCUUCGUUAGUGAGUUUGUGGUUUCUAUGUUUGGUAGCUUACAUUUAAGCAUGCCAACUAGCAAUUUUAGAUAUUAUUGGCUUUUACUUGGUGGGGAAUUUUCUUUUGCCAUGAAUUUUUGAGUUGAACCUUGUGGAUACACUCCUUGACCUAGAGAAUUUGAUCACUUCAGCUCUAAAAAAGGUCUUGUCAUCUGGGUAUCUAUUAUGCAUUUGUGCUGCUGACAAAGAAUGCAUUAAUUUUCUCUGUGAUUCUGUAGACUUUGGGAGCAUGGAUGACAUUUCUGAGUAGAGCUUUUGGUUUGCAGUCCAUCCAAAAUUGAGUCUUAGGUGGCUCCUUCCAGCCUGGAGAGUUCAAGGGAUGAAGGUGGAUUCCUACUUGGAAGUCUCUUCCAAACAGUGAUAAGUCAGUAUUGGGAGUUCUCGAAAAAGUGACUUGCCUUGUUUCUCAUAAUUGGAAUGACGUCUGAAAAAUAGAUGCCUCUUGUGGAACAUAAUAAGACAUGACAGGGAAUGAAAACAGUUGCUGAACUGAGGAGGGUAAUCUUCCAAUGCCGAUCAACACGGAUUCACUUUACACGGUGAGAACAUGGAUUCACUUUACACGGUGAGAACAUCCUAUUAUAGCUCCCUUUCAUUCAUCCUAUUGUAGCUCUUUUUCAUUCGUACUCCAACCUCAAGAAAGAAACAGAAUAAACAAAUUGAUUUUUCAUUUAUUUGUGUUCAUUUCUAACCAUUCGUUUCUUUUUGCACACAGUCUAUUGACAAGAAGCCAACGAAGUUCAAUCCAUUGGUCACAAUACUUAAAUUUAUGUGAUGCGCUUUUCAUUGAUAAUUUUUUUAUUGGUGAUUUUAUAAUGUUUAUUCUUUAAUAUGCUUUUUAUUUGUGUGAACAUUAAAUGAAACACAUAUUGCUUCAACUUCUAACUUAACUCAAUCACUUAA
Non-coding RNA from Sesamum indicum (sesame), 1911 nucleotides. The record is from RefSeq and is a predicted model, not a curated record. NCBI's taxonomy places the organism in Eukaryota, Viridiplantae, Streptophyta, Magnoliopsida, Lamiales, Pedaliaceae.